Molecule: non-coding RNA, 8343 nt
Organism: Sus scrofa (pig)
Lineage: Eukaryota; Metazoa; Chordata; Mammalia; Artiodactyla; Suidae
Source: RefSeq, a predicted model, not a curated record
GAGUUUUUGGGUUCAGUAACCUAAAGCUGCUGCUAAAACAUGUUUGUGAAAAUAAACAAGUUUACUGCAAAAGGAAGUCCCUCAAAGCCCUACCAUUCAGACUGAAACCCGAGAUUUGGCAGCGUUACCUGGAAUCACAGUUUUCUGAAGGAAAGCUGGAUUGCAAAAUCCUCUCAGUAUCUUCAGGUACAGGCAACAGCCGAAGAAGCUUAGGAAGAGCCCAAGUCACUGAUGAGGAAAAGGAGGGGGGUGUUCGGAGCAGAUGAGUUGUGUCGUGUCAGUGUGUGCAGAAGAGUCUACUUCUGAUCUACACCCAGGUGGGGUGUUAUUAGGAACAGCUUGGAGCUUUAUAAUUGGGGGGUUGGGGGUGCAUUUUUCCCAGGGCCAAGCUCUGGAAUAUAGUCUCUGCACCAGAAUGGUGUUGCUGCAACAGCGCAAAAUGACUGAAGUUGAGAGGAACCAGCCUCGAGACAUGAGCGUUAAACUCUGGUGCCUGUUUUGUGCGGAACUGCCUUUUCCAGGCGCCCUGAGCUUCUGGCUGAGCCUGGCCUGAGGCUUUCAGGAGGGGUCACGGUUUCAGUGUAAGGACAUCCUUGGGGCAGUACCUGGAUGGCUGGCAGAGGCCCCUGUGAAGAGCAGGUUGUAGGGGGCCAGGCAGCCCCCUCCCUCAGCCUCAGUGGAGCCUUGCUGCCAGCCAGCAUCACUGAACCUGGGAGGAGUCUGAUUCUCUGCGCUGUGUUUGGCGGUGGGUCCCAAGGCGGGUGCGUGGAAUGUGUCUGGGCUCACACUGCAGGAGUGUUCACAGGCUGCUCAGUUACGAGGCUGCUGGGAAGAUGCUUGGGAGCCUGGGGGCGGGGGGGAAGCUCCUGGCAGAUCUGAGCUGGGUGGCAGGACAGCCUCUUGGUGUUGCUGGCACAGUGGUUCCCCUGCUUCUGCCUCCUGACUGGCUCCUUUGUGACAGUUUUUCUUAAUCAUCCGCCACCAGUGGAAAAAGAUCACACGGUGGGAGGAUUGGGCCUCGCUAUUAAUUUUUUUUCUUCUAAAUGGCUUUUGAAAGCGUGGAAAGGGGGGCUCCCUGUUUCUGUCGGUUGCCCUUGAAGACCGCAGCUGGCGGGGCCACCCCAGGGUCUUGACGCAGCUACAGGAACAACAGCAAGGUGCCUUGGGGCCAGAGAGGCCCCUUCGUGCUUCAUGAAAUAAAUCUCAGACCCUGGUGUGGUUCUGGCCACCUGAGGCCCGUCGGUGCCUGGAUUUGGAGGUGGGAAGCUCACACGUUGACCCAUUUUUUCUGGGGAUGCCCUCCCCACCCCCUGCCUGCUCUAGAGUUGUCUCUGAGGCUCCCAUAUGCGGGGUCACUGUUUCUUUAACACAAUCCAAUUCCAAAUGGUGAAAUUGGGUGGGGACUGUUCUGGAAUUCCUCUUGGUCUCUGCUUUUGAAGCUCCACCUUUUUGUCUUUGAAGUCCAGUGUUUCCACUAAGCAGGAUCCAGCCAGUGUGUUGCUGAGGCCUCUGCUGGCAAGGGCUCUGCCAGUCGUUGGCAUCUCCUGGUUCCUUGGAUGCCUCCGCUGCUCUGGACGCCGACUGACCGGUGGUUCCUCAGCGUGGAAGCUGGAACCAAGAGAAGCUACAACUGACCCUCGAACAACAUGGAGGUCGGGGGUGCCGACACCUCCCCCCCACUCCCAACCCCACACAGCCGAAAAUUGGAAUCUAAUCCCCAGAUUUAACAGCUAGCCUGCUGUUGACCUGCUGACAUAAACAGUUGAUUGUUAUAUGCAUAUCUACAUAUAUUUUAUGCGUUCAAGACAUACCUCAUUUUUUGUCUUAUUUUUCGCUCUUUCUAGGCUAUGCGAUUUGUCUGUUUUUUUCAAAUGAUAGCAAAUCUACAAAAAAAUUCUAAUAUAUUUAAAAAAAAAUCCGUGUAUAAGUGGACCCGUGAAGUGCCAACCUGUGUUGUUCAAGAGCCUCUGUAUGUCCCUCCCUCUUCUCCUGAAAGUGACUUCCAUGUGAUGCUACAGGUGGGAUGGUUAUCCACAUCCAGUUUGUCACUUAGGCCUUCAGAUUUAAGUCCAGGUUCAGCCCUGGAGAGGGGACCAUCCAGGCUCUUUGACCACAAGGUACAUUUCAGAGGCUUCAUGGUAUUGGGCUUAAGAGCAUGGACUCAGGGACUGGUCAGCCUGAGUGUGUGCCAACUUUGCCACUGACCAGCUGUGUGUCAUUGGGCAAGCUGACAUCUCUGUGCCUUGGUUUUCUCAUCCACAGAAUGGUCAUAAUAGCAGUUCCUAUCUUACAGGACUGCUUGUGGGAAUUACAUAAAUAGCUUAUGGGAAGCACCCAGCACAGUGCCUGGUCCACAGGAAGCACUGGGUGCUGGGUGUUACCACUGUUUCAUAUUCCUCUCCAGACCUUGUGUCUUCCCAAUAUAAUUCCACAUUCCUUGAGGUCAGGGGAUGAUGGAUUGACUUAGAGAGUUCCAGUAACUCCUGACAUGGUCUUCUUGGGGACACUUGAGAUACUUAAUAUCACAUGUGUGUUGAGUUCCACCUGUGUGCGAGGCUCUUUCAUAUGCAUUCUUUUUUUUAAACUGUCACCAACCACCACAUGAGAAAAAAAAUCUGUUAUUCUUGUUGUAUAGAGGAAAGCACUUGGAGUUCAAAGGCGGAGAAGUCUAGCCCAGGUCACACAGUAGACAACAAAGCAGAGGCCUUUCACACUUUUUCUCUGUGCCCAACAAUUUGCAGGAAAAUAUCCAACAUGAAUAGCGUGUUUGGGUUUGGGUUUGGGUUUGGGUCUGCUCAGUAGCAGGUGCCAAGACAUGAUUAGACUUGUAAGCCAUAAGCUGGGGGGAGAAGGUGCUUGAAGAACAAGGUGAGGGGGGGGGAGCAGGGGAAGGCAGCGGAGCCUUCAGACCCUGUGCAGACAGGAGGGGGUUUUGGGUGGGGAGAGCCUCUGCAGCGCAAGCUAAGGAAGGUGUGACCAGGCUGCCUGGAACCCUCGGGAGCUCUCUGUCUUGCAGGAAUGGCCUCAGGUGCCCUCGGUGCCUUGUCCCUGGGCAGAGCAGCCUCAGGAAGCAUGGCUUUGAUGGGGACACAGUGGGUGGGAUCACUUAUGCUCCCUGCGGCCAGAGGGCCAAGCAGCACGUUGUCGUGGCGCCAUCUGCCCUGACAGAUGAGUGUGGUGUCUGGCCGGUCAGAUGGCAGGACUCCAGACCAGGGUCCCCACGCUCUUGGUGGCCCAGGAUCGGCUUCUGGGUUCAGUGCCUUUUGUUGACUAAGUUACCAGGCUGCAUUAUUUGCCUGUGACUCAUGUCUCCCUGAGAGAUACUGAGAGUGAAAGUUGUCCUAAGGUGGGUGAGUGUGAAAGUUUGAGCUCAGUGAAGAGGCCAGGACUUGCUCUGCGGGAGAGGCGCCCAUAGGGCCGGGCUCUGUGGAGGUGUCUGACCUUCAGAGCCGAGGUGGGUGCUGUUUCUCAUGAAGGCCCCUCCAGGCAGGGUUCUCGGUCCUUUCUACUUUAAAGGCGUGGGUGGCACCUUUUCAGCUCAUCUCGUUAUGGUGGAACAGAAGUGUUUCUUCAGUUACCCCCAUACUGUUAUUAAUACUCUCUUCUGUUAUUCCACCCAAGCUGGCUACCAUGUUUUACAUUUGAGAGGCGAACAGAAAGGAUGUGCUGGAUAAAAGCUUGACAAGUUAUGUACUCAGAUGAUGACUUAGAAUCUAGUUCAGCUCCCCAAGAGUUUGAAUACGGUAACUAGUUAUUUUUCUCAUCUUUUUUUUUUUUUUGCUAUUUCUUUGGGCCGCUCCCGCAGCAUAUGGAGGUUCCCAGGCUAGGGAUCGAAUCGGAGCUGUAGCCACUGUCCUACGCCAGAGCCACAGCAACGCGGGAUCUGAGCCGCGUCUGCAACCUACACCACAGCUCACGGCAACGCCGGAUCCUUAACCCACUGAGCAAGGGCAGGGACCGAACCUGCAACCUCAUGGUUCCUAGUCGGAUUCGUUAACCACUGCGCCACGACGGGAACUCCUAUUUUUCUCAUCUUUGAUGCAAGGAAGAAACUUUACCCCUAGGAGAAAAUAAAGCUUGGCGAUUGCAUUGAGAAUCUCCUGUAAAAGGUCCAGGCUUCAGACGUCUCAAAUCCUAUUUUCUCUUUCUAAUCAGCGAACACAUCUUUUUCUUCUUGUUACCUAGGUACUUAGGAAGGCAUUUCUUUUGACAUUUACAUUAGUUAGAAAAAGGCUUUUUUAUUUUCUGGUUUCUAAACAAAAUUCUCACCCUAUACCCUCAAAUCCAAACCUCACCCAUUUCUGGUGGCUUCUUAAAACAAUCUAUUACCUAGAAGACAUCAGGAGGAAAAGCUCUAAAGAAACCCACUUCCUGGCUUGAGCUUUGCCGGCUCACUGUCCAAGUGUGUGUCUGAGUGGCAGGUUGAAUGUGGCGAGACAGAGUCCUCGGACUUGGAGGAAAGGCUCCUGCAUUUGAAUACAGGCUGCCCCUUUAAGAGAGGGGGUGGUCGCCUUUCCCUGCAGCCACCCCCACACAUGUGUACGUGAACACAUGCAGGUGUGAGGAGCCCAGGCAAAAACAAGGGCCUUUCCUCCAGACACUAAAGUGUGUAACUGUCUUGUUCUCAGGCCAAGGCAGACACAAGUGAGCCUCGCUUACGUCUGUCCCAGGUGGGGCCACCUGGCCAACCCAUCGCCAGCCCACCAGGCUUGUGGCCCCAGCUGUCUUGGACAUGGGCUUCCUGCUGUUCUUCUGUUACAACUGAUGCAACCCGUCCCCAGGCCCCAACUCCCAACAUUUGUGGGGAACGCUGGACUCACUCUAGGUCAGCCCUACAUAAUUAUUAGGUGGUGUGUGCUUGGUGAGGAGUAUAAAUGAUUAAGGGGGAAAAAGUGCCUUAGGGGAAAGAGGAUCUAAGUCUGUCUGUGGCCAAGAUUUCCCCAAGCCAUAAAUGUCGGCGAUACUUUCACUUGCAAAGCAGUUUGCAUCUGCUUUUUGUGCGUGUCUCCUUUAAAUUAGAGCAAGCACUUCAGAGUUAUCCCUAAUUUAAAAAGAACUUAACUGGUUAUUCGCAUCUACAGUGUUUAAAACAUCUUGCAUUUAUAUACUUUAACUUUUUUUUUUUUUUUUUUGGUUAACCUCUGGCUUUCUCUUUUUUCGAAGUUGCUGCACAAAAGGCCAAUUUAAUUCUUGGAAGAAUAACUCAAUUUUAUCUGGUGCUUUUGCUGUUUUUUUUUCAACUCCAUCUUUUUUUUUUUUUUUCUUGUUUGUCUCAGGAAAAGUCUGCUUUAAAAAAAUUUCUUUUUUUCUGUAGUUUAAUUAUUCUGUUCAAUUCCAUAGUUGUGUUUUAUAUUGUUCCCCAAUUGUUCUGCACCGUGGUCAUCUCUUUAUGUAUAUACACAUAUAUAUGUAUAUGUAUUUGUAACAAUAAGGACAUAAUCUUCGUAAAGUAGGAAGGAGCGGGGAUAGUGAUUUUCAUUUUAGGGAUAGAUAAACUAAGGCUCAGAGAGGUAAAUGAGCUGCAUGAGAUUGCACAGUCAAUUGGGGAGGAGUUGGGAUCCAAGUUCUGGACACUUGAUUUUCUGUUUGGGGCAUUUCCCACCGGCAUGUAUGUAUUUUGAUUUUACAGGAUACCGUCUGCUGCCAUCUCUCCGUCAGUAUGUCCAAUGCCUGACACAUUUGCUUGUUGGUUUAAAUUUUUUGAAAUGCUUCCUACUUUCUUUUGGUCUAAUGUGUCAGAGGCAGGGACUUGGUGUCCAGGCUGGUUUUAAUUGUUUUCUAACUUAUUUACAUUGUUAGGUCCUGGCUGUUUCGGCAGUAUGUUAAGCGCAAGGUCACGAAGGUGUCGUCGAGUGGGUUUUUCAAGCACAGGUUAGAAUGUUGUGUGUGGUCCUGAGUGGACUUAUUGGAACUGAGGUCCCCGAUGGCUGCCUUCGAUUUCCUAGCCAUGGAUAGAGGACCAUGUGCAUAGAACAUGUUGGUCUGUAGUGAUUCGCUGAACUAAGGCUUCCUUGAUCAGUUAUAGGACGUACCGCAUAUGGAUCGUGUUGGGGUUUACGUGAGACUGGGUUGAGUUGGGGCCACAGCAGGGCCAUAGCUCCGAGGAAAUGGGAAAAGGCACAUCAAGCAGACCAUCCUCUUCCUCCUUUUGAAAAUCUUCAGUGCUUCGGAUGCCAAACGAUCCAGCAAUACAAUUUCUUGACUGAUUCAUCCCCACUCAGAAGAUAGUGCAGCUCCUGUUGGGUUUGGCCCUGAGGGCAAGAAACUGUCAGGAUGCUUUCUGUUCCAUUUGUCAUUAAAGGUCAUUUCCUCAGGACUGGACGGCAUGAGAAGGACUUCGGGAUCUUUUGUGGAUGAUCAUUGAGAAGGUGUUGAAGGCAGAGGGUGAUGCUUAGAUUCUAGGGUCACCCACCCCACCCACAAAGGUGGGCACUCCUGCAGUAGUUUGAAAAAAAAGAUACACUUGUGAACAGAUGGGUCAUUUCUGGAGUCGAGUGUUCUGUUUUUGCCAUCAUCGUUUGGCUGUGGGUAGAGACACCUGGGGGAAGGGAGGGGCCAGUCAGUCCCGUUCCUCUGUUUUAGGACCACCUGUCAGAUGUGUACUAUGGGGGCAGAGUGAGCCCUGUUGCAAGGGUGACCAACCAUGAGAGUUUCAUAGGUUAAAAUAAAUGUGGUGUCCUGCCCACACCGAGGUCUUUGAUUUGACUUUGAGAGUCGAGCUACAGAGAUUAGAUGCUCAAAGUAGCAAAUGAAUCCCCAAAGGACAGGAGGUGGGGCCGUUUUUAUUUUGGGGCACAUGUUGAUGAAACAUAGCCUGGGAGUCACCCAUAUUGUUUGGCCCCAAAUAUAGUUUAAUAGAGAGAAGCAGUUUGGGUCGCUUGUACCCUGACACCUUUCUGCAGAGGAUUGUUGGGGUAAUACAGUUCAGUAAAUAUUUACUGAGCACCUGUCCCAGGCCAGGUCCCACGCCUGGCACGGAACACAGAAGGUUCGAUCAGAUGCAGCCUAGGGUGGGAGGGAACUAACAGGUGGAAGGAGUCACCCCACGGCAGACAGCUUUUCGAUUGUGUUUGCUGGUGAGGCACUGUGCUAGGCUUUGGGUGACAGCAGUGAAAACUCACAGUCCCCGCCCUUGGAGUGUGUGUUCUAGUGAUGAGAGAGAUUUACGGAGAGCAGGCUGCUAGGCUUGGUCUUGAUGUGCACACAGACGAUGGGGGUGCUGACCGAGACAGCCACUGCCUUGGGCUCUGCUCCUGUGUGGUUGCCUCACGCUGGGCACAGGCGACAGAGUGAGAACUUGAAGCUGAACUGGAAAGGGGUCCCCACCCUGAGCCUGGUUGACCAGCUGUAAAUUCACUGCUGUGGCAGGCAACCCCCGAGCCUGGAGAAUGAGAAGAAAGAUGCUGACAUCUUUUUUCUCAUUCUGGGAACAGUUAUGAUCCAGGGCACUUGAUUCAAAUCCUGUCCUGGCCUUUUGCUUUUUCCAUUUACCUGAGCUGCUCUCUUCUUAGCCUCUAAGCCAGGGGGCCAAAAAACGGGGGCGUUUUUAAAAUCACCCCUCAAGGAGACAGACAGGAGCCUUCUGGUCCCUAGACAAAGAGAAGGGAAACAACCAGAUGAGUAGGAAUAUACUGGGUGCCUUGCCUUACAAAAAGAGGGAGUGGUUAUUAGCCCUGGACUUGAACUACUUUGAGGGUCCCCUCUGGAGGGAAACGUCCUUGUGUGACUAGCUCUGCUGGCCUGGGGUCCCUUCAGAUGCCCCCGAUAACUGAGGUUGUGUCAUACAUAGUCUUUGAGUGGGACCAUCAGUGUUGUACUGAGAAUUUUUGUCUUCCCCAGAAGCUGAGAACAAAGCCGUCAGAGGAAACUCCCCGCUGCAGCCUGGGGGAGCGGGCAGGGGUGGGGGGCGUGUGAGUGUGUGUGUGUGUGUGUGUGUGUGUGUGUGUGUGUGUGUGUGUGUGAGUUAGAGUUCGCUGAACCCAUGGACAAUUUCUGAGGCAGUCCUCACCUGACCUCUGAGAACUUCCUGGCUGGCGAGUUGAUUCCUUCCAAAGCGAUGAGGCUUUCCGUUCUUAGUUUGGGUGCCUGCCUGUAGGUGGGGACGGGAUCCUGGGAGAGAGGAAUGCUAUGACCAAAAGAACAUCUGACCUCGGUGUCCUUGUUAGAUUCCCCCUAGGACGGUACUGCUUCUCCCUUGCAAAUCAGGGCUCUCUGCUAUAGAUGGUGCCUAUGAGCUUUGACUUCGGGUUGGAAAUGACAAAGACAUUCCUUGGUUCAUACCUUUCUUCCUUUGGAAGGCAAAAAUAACGACUUCGUUUGUUCAGGCAAAAAAAAAAAAAAAAA